GCGGGUGUAGCUCAACUGGAUAGAGCGUCGGUCUACGAAACCGAAGGUUACAGGUUCGAGUCCUGUCAUCCGCG
Molecule: transfer RNA, 74 nt
Filed under: Phycisphaerae bacterium
Lineage: Bacteria; Pseudomonadati; Planctomycetota; Phycisphaerae
Also listed under: 2 other names
Description: tRNA-Arg
Rfam family: tRNA
About the family: Transfer RNA (tRNA) molecules are approximately 80 nucleotides in length. Their secondary structure includes four short double-helical elements and three loops (D, anti-codon, and T loops).
Source: RNAcentral